Molecule: ribosomal RNA, 1286 nt
Filed under: Staphylinoidea sp. 4 KM-2017
Lineage: Eukaryota; Metazoa; Arthropoda; Insecta; Coleoptera
Description: 16S ribosomal RNA
Rfam family: Archaeal large subunit ribosomal RNA (bases 1037-1196)
Source: RNAcentral
AUUUGAGUUAUUAUUUUAUUUUAAAUUAAAUAAGUAAAUUUUAUUUUUAUUAUUUAUUAAGAAAAAAUUUAAAUUAUUAUAGUUAAUUAGUAUUGUGAAAGAAAUAUUUUAAUAUUUAUUUAAGAAUAAUUAAUUUUUAGUACCUUGUGUAUCAGGGAUUAUUAAUUAAAAUUUAAUUUAUAUUAAAGUUCUCGAUUUUAAAAGAGUUAAUUAUUUAUAAAUUUUAUUGUAAAAUAAAUAUUUAAAAUAAAUAAUUAGUAAUGAAAUGUUAUUCGUUUUUAAAUAUAUCUAGUUUUUUAAGAAAUUAAUUUAAUUAAGAUUAAAUGAUUUAUUUAUAUUAAUAUAAAUUAUAAAAUAAUUAUUUGAUUAAUAUUAGUAGGGAUAAGCUUAUUAAUAAAUUAUUAUAAAUUAUUAAUUAUUAAUUAUUAUGUAGGAUUAGAAAUUUUCAUCUAUUAAUUUGUUAUAAUAAAUUAAUUUAUUAUAAAAAUUUUUAUAUAAUUUUAGUUAUUUUAUUAAAAUAAUUAAUUUAAUAUUUUAAUUAAGAUAAUAAUGAUAAUAUUAGUAUAAUUUAAUUUAAUUUUUUAUUAUUAAAUUUAUGUUGAAUUAAGGAAUUCGGCAAUUUUAAAUUUUUCGCCUGUUUAUUAAAAACAUGUCUUUUUGAAUUUUAUUUAAAGUUUGACCUGCCCAAUGAAAUUUUAAUGGCCGCAGUAUUUUGACUGUGCAAAGGUAGCAUAAUCAUUAGUUUUUUAAUUAAAAGCUUGUAUGAAAGGUUGGACGAGAAAAUAACUGUCUUAAUUUAAAUUUUUUAGAAUUUUAUUUUUAAGUAAAAAAGCUUAAAUAUAUUUAAAAGACGAGAAGACCCUAUAGAGUUUUAUAUUUUAUUAUUUAUUUAGUAAAUUUAGAAUUUUUUUUAUUAUUAAAUUGUUAAUAUUUAAUUGGGGUGAUUAAAAAAUUUAAAUAACUUUUUUUUUAUAAAACAUAUAUUUAUGAAUUAAUGAUCCAAAAAUUGUUGAUUAAAAGAUUUAAUUACCUUAGGGAUAACAGCGUAAUUUUUUUUAAGAGUUCAAAUCGAUAAAAAAGUUUGCGACCUCGAUGUUGGAUUAAAAUUAAAGUUUGGUGCAGAAAUUAAACUUUUUAGGUCUGUUCGACCUUUAAAAUUUUACAUGAUCUGAGUUUAAACCGGUGUGAGCCAGGUUGGUUUCUAUCUUUAAAUAAUUAAAAUAUUUUAGUACGAAAGGACCAGAUAUUAUAAAAAUUUUUUUUAUAUUGAAUUAUAUUAAUAAAUA